GAUGGUGGGUUCAAACGGAAGCCCUCGAUGCCAGGAACAAUUUGAAGGCACCAAAUAAAAUUUUGGACGGUUCAAACUUCUGAAAAUGUGAAGAGAAGGUGGAGUAGAGUUAGAGAGAAGGCAGAGAAUGUUUUUAGGGCAAGGAAUUCUAGUGAGAGAGAGGAAAUGCUGAAAAUGAAAUCUGAAAUGGGAAAGGAACCCCUCCAAAGACCAAGUACUCCAACUCU
Molecule: long non-coding RNA, 227 nt
Filed under: Vigna radiata
Lineage: Eukaryota; Viridiplantae; Streptophyta; Magnoliopsida; Fabales; Fabaceae
Description: long non-coding RNA (VRAD_LNC010946)
Source: RNAcentral